This is a long non-coding RNA of Limulus polyphemus (Atlantic horseshoe crab), 1424 nucleotides long. RefSeq lists it as uncharacterized. The record is from RefSeq and is a predicted model, not a curated record. NCBI's taxonomy places the organism in Eukaryota, Metazoa, Arthropoda, Merostomata, Xiphosura, Limulidae. The transcript has 3 exons.
CUUUGGUCAAGGAGAGAAUAAUAUUUCAUUCGCCUCAAACAGUUUCGCUUUUCAGUUUGUCGUUGAUUUUCAAAAUAUACCACCGGCAGCUGCAGGAAAUUGGAGUUGAAGACCUGCCCAGCCACAAAAAAGAAAACAAUGAAGCAACUUUUUUUGUUAUUUUUUGAGAAGAUCAAAACUCACUCUUCAGCAUGAAUGAAGAAAAGGACCUUGGCAUGAAGAUGCAAAUCACUCAAACUUGCUAGCCAGUAGUAAAGCUAAUAGUUUUAGGAUGUUUUUAUAGACCAAUCCAGCACUGAGUACAGGAAGAAAGACAGUAAUGGUUUCUAACUUCAAUGAUACUGCUAAAGAAAAUGGAUUUCCUUCUAGAUUACAGAAUAGUCUGAUGGUUCUGAUACGUAUUAACUGCAGUGGCCCACCUUUUGCAAGGGAAAAGGGAAAACUGUUAAUGGGCUUCAGAAGAGGUUUAGUCUAACCAAGAAGUGUAGGAAGGAGAACCUCGUUUGUUGUGUGUAUGCUCUUGGGACACUGCAUGGCAUAUAUUAUAUUAACAAGAGAUUAAUCAUUUUUCUUUAGGGCUGCAUGCAUUUGGAGACUCUUAUGACACCAUGUGGGAUAUAGAGAUCCAAUUACUCUUCAUAUUUCUAAAUUUAAUUCUGAUUAUUAUUCUAAAGAUUAUCAAUCUCCUAAACAUUGUUCUGAAUGUAUUCCUAAGCGUAAUUGCUUGCAAAGGCUAAAAAAGAUCCAUAAAAAGACUUGAUACAUAUUUGACAGAUGGUAUCUGUGAAGUAUGCCAUAAUUUCCUUAUGGCUUCUAAGUCGAGUUGAACCUAUGUUUAUAUCCGAGUAAAGUUGUUGCUUGAAAAUGUUUUUUUAUAGUCAUAUUAUGUAAGCAUUUAAGCAACUAAAAACUUUGACAAAACAAUAAUUCUACUCUUAAGAGCAAUCUCAUGCUGGGAUAAAUUGUCCUGUGUUCUUAGAAAAUAAAUAUUUAAAGAUACUUUUAAAAUGUUACAAUUUCUGUAUUUUGUAUAAUUAAUAAAUGAAAUAUUCAAUUAAAUAUAAUGUUUAACAAUUUAAAUUUUAACUUUAAUACAGCAUUUAAGGUAUUGUAGAUAAACUAAAAGAUUUUAUGUAUUAACAAUAUUCUUGCCAAGUUUCUGGGAUAUGAAAGUGAUUUUAUGAUCUCUGUCCAAAAAGUCUUGUAAUGUUGAACAAAUUUGGUUGUACCUAAUAAGCUAUGAGUAUUAAACAUUGUAUUGUAACGUAAUUGGAAUAAAUGUAUUCAGAAAUGGAUUAAAGUUUUAAUAUCAAAUUCAAAGAGACUCUUUCAGUGAAUUUUUUUAACAUUUGACUAACAAUGUUUAUAUCUAAAACCUGGUCAUGUGCUUUGUUUCUAUGAAAAGAGCUUUUCUUAAAAGAGUG